Molecule: transfer RNA, 77 nt
Filed under: Rheinheimera salexigens
Lineage: Bacteria; Pseudomonadati; Pseudomonadota; Gammaproteobacteria; Chromatiales; Chromatiaceae
Description: tRNA-Pro(ggg)
Rfam family: tRNA
About the family: Transfer RNA (tRNA) molecules are approximately 80 nucleotides in length.
Source: RNAcentral
CGGUACGUGGCGCAGCUUGGUAGCGCACUUCGCUGGGGGUGAAGGGGUCGCAGGUUCGAAUCCUGCCGUACCGACCA